GUGAAUCAUCGAAUCUUUGAACGCAAAUUGCACUUCCUGGUAUUCCGGAAAGUAUGCCUGUUUGAGGGUCAGUUAAAUAAAAAUCGGUGUUGUUGCUGUCUUUCGUUGUUACGCGUCGGAAUUGGGUCGUCUUACCUUCGGUUAAGUGACUUAAAAUUCUUGCACGAUUUUUGAACGUAUUUAUAUCGUUUACGUACGUUUGAGAUAUCGACUGCUUAUUAGGUUUGGUCAUUCCCAUGAUUGGCGGCUAUAAUUUUUCAUUAAAUGAAUUCAAAUCAGGU
Molecule: unclassified non-coding RNA, 281 nt
Filed under: Glomeraceae sp.
Lineage: Eukaryota; Fungi; Glomeromycota; Glomeromycetes; Glomerales; Glomeraceae
Description: partial contains 5.8S ribosomal RNA and internal transcribed spacer 2
Rfam family: 5.8S ribosomal RNA (bases 1-71)
Source: RNAcentral